GUGUUCACUUCAGCAGCACAUACACUAAAACUGGAACAAUAUAGAGAAAAUUAGUAUGGGCCCUGCUCAUAUAUGACAUGAAAAUUCAUGAAGCAUUCCAUAUUUUU
Molecule: small nuclear RNA, 107 nt
Organism: Jaculus jaculus (lesser Egyptian jerboa)
Lineage: Eukaryota; Metazoa; Chordata; Mammalia; Rodentia; Dipodidae
Source: Ensembl